UAAUACGUAUGUGGCGAGCGUUGUCCGGAAUUACUGGGUGUAAAGGGCGUGUAGGCGGGGAGACAAGUCAGAUGUGAAAUACCGUGGCUUAACCACGGGGCUGCAUCUGAAACUGUUUUUCUUGAGUGUCGGAGAGGAAAGUGGAAUUCCCNGUGUNCCGGUGAAAUGCGUNCAUAUUGGGAGGAACACCAGUGGCGAAGGCGACUUUCUGGACGAUAACUGACGCUGAGGCGCGAAAGCGUGGGGAGCAAACAGGAUUAGAUACCCUGGUAGUCCACGCUGUAAACGAUGGAUACUANGUGUNNGAGGUNUCGACCCCUUCUGUGCCGGAGUUAACACAAUAAGUUUCCCNCCUGGGGAGUNCCGCCGCNAGGUUGAAACUCAAANGAAUUGACCGGGGCCCGCACCACCCACUUGGAAUUAUGUGGUUUAAUUCCAAGCCACGCGAAGAACCUUNCCAAGGGCUUGACAUAAUGGUGGAUA
Molecule: ribosomal RNA, 483 nt
Filed under: uncultured bacterium
Lineage: Bacteria
Description: partial 16S ribosomal RNA
Rfam family: Bacterial small subunit ribosomal RNA
Source: RNAcentral